AGAACUAGGGUUCAUCAAAAGGCACAGAAGAGAGAGAGAGAGAGAGAGAGAGAGUGAGUGAGUGAGUGAGUGAGUGACCAUAACCCUUGCUCCACCAUUAUUGCUCUUUCUGUAGUGAGAAACAAAGGCAAAAGCAAAAUCAAAAGCCCCAUCACUAUUUCGAACCAUCGAAUUGUUUUCCUCUAAAUCCCUCAAGUGCGUCCAUCAAUCGCUUACUCUGCAGUUUUUCCAGUCGACAAGACGACCCAAUCGACAUGGCGAAGUACCGAGAAGCUUUCGCAAAGAGGAUGGCCACGGCUGGUCUCAACCCUCAUCACCGUAUCGGUGAAUUAGAUUCUGGACUGUUAAAUUCACCAAUCGUUGGGCUGAUGUUGAUGAACAGGGCUACAGCUACGGUUUCUCUGCUGUUGUAUCUAUGCUAUCUAGGCUGUCUCUGCACCGUGCUGCCUCUGUGUUUGUUGAAUUGGCCUUUUGUGGCUUGUUUCUGUCAUUUGCUGGUUGCAGUUUUCUUUUUGUUGUUGGUUAUUUUGUGCAAGACCCCUAUCUUCUACUGGACAUGGUUCUUGAACAAUAUUUUGUUCGGUUUGCUGUGUGGUGCCUAUGCUCAAUGAAGAUGGUUGAAUGGAGGUUUUUUUAGUUAGUUUGUUAAAUUUUUUUUCCCCUUGUUUUAAAUGUUUUUUUUGUUGGCUGUUGUUGUGUGGCUUUGCUUCAGUGGUUUCGUUACAUGUGGCUUCUUAGCUGUUGUGUUGUGUUGUGUUGUGUUGUGUUGUGUGGGUAGGGCCUGGGCCAUGCCCCUUGUAAACUUGUAAAUUCUUCUAUUCUAUUUUAUGUCUUAUUCACCCAAAAAUAAAAUAUUUCACCAGUCGAAGCCAAUUAGUUGUUCGCAUUUAGGCAAUACCAGUGAGAUUUUACUUCAUUAUUUCCAAAUGACCUAAAUCUGAGCAAAUAGCAAAACGAGGAAUCAGUAAAAAUUGAGUAUUUCCGUAACUACUCCAUUUGGUAAUUGGGAAACAGAGGAUAGUCUAUAAAAACCAAAUCUUGAAUCUUUUUUUUCUUCUAUAUUUUCAUAAAUAAUUUUUAGCUUUCACUGUGAAUAUUUCUUCUCCUCCUAAGUGGUAGCAACUUGCAAGGAAGUUCUAUUAUAUUGAACAAUUCUUGACCAAGAUGAAAUCAUUUUUUAAGAUUCUAACUGCUCUAAAAUUUUCUUGUUAGGUGAAUAUGAGCAUUGCAAUACUUCCAAUGUCACAGGAGUUUAACUGGAACAGUGCAAUAGUUGGUCUCAUCCACUCUUCUUUUUUUGGGGCUAUCUCCUCACUCAGAUUGUUGGAGGUAUCUGGGUAAAUAAAAUUGGUGGGAAACUAGUAUUGGGUUUUGGAGUGAUCUGGUGGUCAGCUACAACAGUUUUGACACCUAUUGCUGCUAGAGUUGGGCUUCUUCUUGCUUGUCAUGCGUGCCUUUAUGGGGAUUGGUGAGCUGCUGAUGUAUCUGAUGUUGAUUGCAUAUUGAACUGUGAUAGUGAAUCAGUCUCCAUCAGUGCUAACAAUCUCGAAGCAUAUUUACACCUACCAAUUGUGAACUCAAAAUUGGGCAAGUUUUCUUUGUUAAGAAAUUUCCUUUCUGCGUUUAAUUUUGCAAAGAUAAACCUAAGAAGAGAGAGGAAACUUCUAGUUUGCUGCAAUAAUGGUAAGUGUAAUGUUCAUUUGCUCUGUCUUUCCCUGUAGAGUUAUACCAAGAGACAUUAGGAUCUGGCAUGGGAAUGACAUUGAUCCAUGUAGCAGUUGGACUUUUGUUAUUUUGUUUUGCAUAGCAUAUAAAAUGUUUGCUUUCUAUAAUAUGUAACAUUAUUUUAGGAUCUCCGUUCUUUGCAAUUAAAUAAAAAUUUCAGCGCAAAUUGCAACAUGGGAGGUUCUUCAGCAAUAUGACUAACUAGGAUAUUGAAGCAAUAGAGGCAAUUAUAGCAGAUCAGAAAGUCCAAUAUUCCAAUAUCAUCCAAGUGUCUUUAAUAACGAAUUAGCUAAAAGGAAUCAAUCAGAGAAGCAAUACUUUGAAAAGUAUUCAAAAAGUGUGGAGGUUGAGAAUUUGAUAUGAUUUCAAAGAUGUUCAAAUCAACAAGAAUGAAAGUUCAGAAUCUGCAGAAAUACAUAGCACAUGAAACUAAAUAAUAAAUUAGAUAACAGUAGACAGCAACAUGUCAUGUGGAUUGUAUUUUAUAUGCAUGACCGAAGACCAUGAAGUUUAAAACCAAUAUGUCAGCCAUUUGAAAACUUUAUGUAUGUCCUAAAACAAUGCUAUGCUGUGGCAGAUCAAAAUAUUGAUGACAAAAUAAAGAAAGUUUAUGGCUAUUGUACAAGACUUAAUGGAGUGGUAAUGUCAAAAAGAUGUUCAAUAUGAAUUCGAUAUAGGUACUGGUGGAGCAUCAGUGGCUCAAUCUAACACAACUAAGAACCCAGAUAUCUAGAAAAACGUGAUCAUUUGUUUCCCAAAUUUCCCUUGAGUUAUCAAUUUAAAAAUGCAAAGAAAAAAUUAAUUUAUUCAACACGCUAAACCCCAAAGAAAGCUUGCCACUCAACUAAAAAAAGUGCAGCAUUACCAAAUCAGGUUAAUCUGUUUGAUGAGCCUCUUAUGCUUACAAGACAUCUAUAAAAUCAUUUUUUUCUAAAAAGUCCAUUGGUCCAGUAUGAUUCAAGGUUGACAAAAGUCAGCAUUAAUCUGUUUAUAUAUAAAUAUAUAUAUAUAUAUAUAUCAUCUGACUGUCCUGUUGACAAUCAGAAUUGAAAGAGAUUGGCAAUUUACAAUUCAUCUCUUUAUGUAAAAUUUCUAUCUAUAGGACGCAUCCCAUCAUUUGCUUUGAAAAAUGAAAGAAUCCUGCCCAAUACAGAGUUCAACUUGAGUUUGAUGAGAAGAUAUAAAGUAAAUUUAUUUUGAGCUAGAUGGGGACAUAAACCUUGCUUCCGCUAGGUAUUUAGGGACAUUGGACAUGCUUUCCAUGCUGCCAGCUACAACAUCAUUGAUGCCCAACUGGAUACUCUGCGUUGCAAGCAUAGUUGUUGCAAUGACCCAAAAAAAAUACUGAUAUUACAGUCCAAUAUUGCUUUAGUAGAAAAGAAUACUGCCCAUCACUAUCUUCUUACAAUUUUAUGUUAUCACUUAUUUUGAAUUUGUUAUGUAUAUUGUGCCUCGAGUGAUUGCAUUAUGUUGUGUGUUUCUGGGGAAGGUAUUAGUAUAUGUGCUUCUUUGGCAAUCUUGACAUCAUUAUUCACUGAUGAAGGUACACUUUUAAGAAAUAAUUUGUAUUUCAAGCCCUAACUUUCUAUGAGAUAUUACGAAGACCCUUCAUAGAAUUAAACAUCAUACAUAGAGAUCCUUUAACAUAAUUAUGCAAGUCCCAAGUAGUUGCUACAUUGAAGUAGACUAAUUCUACCUCUUUUUAAAUUUAAUUUUUCUCGAGUUUCUUAUGACCUCAAUUUAAUGGCAAAUUAUAUUUUCCUGUACGAACUUAAUGGUUUAUUUGAAGAAUCCUACUCAUUUCCCUCUAGAAACAUUACAACAAAAGAGGUAACUUUAUUUGAGGUAUGAAAAAAAAAAAAGGUUUGCUUUAUGUGGAUUUUAUUUGCAUAUACAUUGAGACUAUUGAGAUCUUGAAUUUUUGCUAAUUUCUCAUUAUGAUAUUACUUUUAUGGGGUCAUUGAAUUAUCUUAUUAAUUUUAAAAAUAUUUUGGUGAUGUUUUAAAAUUUCUUAAUCAUUUCUUAAUACUUCAAGAAAUAUUUUUUGUCUCUGAGUCGUUGGUUUUUGUAUUUAUGUGAAGUUUCCUUUAUCAUGCAGACAAGAAAUGCAACAGGGCUAGUUGCUCCAGCUAUUGCCGCGGGUUUAGAUGCCUUAACACAUACAUUGGGCACCCUCGUCCCUGUGAAGUAGAUUUGCUACAAUUGCAACUACAACUACUAUAGGAACUGUUGUCGGUAGUUUUAGAUAAUCUUUUAAUAGUUGUCGAUAUGUUUAGAAAGUUAGAUAUGCAUAGUUUUGGAUGGUUGAAACUUUUUGUACAAUUUAGAACUUAGGGAUAUAGUUUUCGACUAUUUGGGAUGUGUCGAUAAUUGUUGAAUGUUUAUGAUUUAUGGAUAUAGUUUCUUUUUGAUGUUUCAAACAAUAUUUUGGUGGUUGAU
Non-coding RNA from Camellia sinensis, 4164 nucleotides. Lineage: Eukaryota; Viridiplantae; Streptophyta; Magnoliopsida; Ericales; Theaceae. The record is from RefSeq and is a predicted model, not a curated record.